CCUACGAGAGGCAGCAGUGGGGAAUAUUGCACAAUGGGGGAAACCCUGAUGCAGCGACGCAGCGUGAGUGAAGAAGUAUUUCGGUAUGUAAAGCUCUAUCAGCAGGGAAGAUAAUGACGGUACCUGACUAAGAAGGCCCGGCUAACUACGUGCCAGCAGCCGCGGUAACACGUAGGGGGCAAGCGUUAUCCGGAUUUACUGGGUGUAAGGGGAGCGAAGGUGGCAGGGCAAGUCAGAUGUGAAAACCCGGGGCUCAACCCCGGGAGUGCAUUUGAAACUGUCAAGCUGGAGUGCAGGAGAGGUAGGCGGAAUUCGUAGUGUAGCGGUGAGAUGCAUAGAUAGUAGGAGGAACACCAGUGGCGAAGGCGGCUUACUAGACUGUAACUGACACUGAUGCUCGAAAGCGUGGGUAGCAAACAGGAUUAGAUACCCCAGUAGUC
Molecule: ribosomal RNA, 440 nt
Filed under: uncultured bacterium
Lineage: Bacteria
Description: partial 16S ribosomal RNA
Rfam family: Bacterial small subunit ribosomal RNA
Source: RNAcentral